This 465-nucleotide ribosomal RNA is filed under the name uncultured bacterium. RNAcentral's name for it is "partial 16S ribosomal RNA". It matches the Rfam family "Bacterial small subunit ribosomal RNA", at positions 28 to 507 of the family's 1533-position model. The record is from RNAcentral.
GACGAACGCUGGCGGCGUGCUUAACACAUGCAAGUCGAACGGAAAGGCCCUGCUUGCAGGGUACUCGAGUGGCGAACGGGUGAGUAACACGUGGGUGAUCUGCCCUGCACUUCGGGAUAAGCCUGGGAAACUGGGUCUAAUACCGGAUAGGAGCCAUUUUUAGUGUGAUGGUUGGAAAGUUUUUUCGGUGUAGGAUGAGCUCGCGGCCUAUCAGCUUGUUGGUGGGGUAAUAGCCUACCAAGGCGGCGACGGGUAGCCGGCCUGAGAGGGUGGACGGCCACAUUGGGACUGAGAUACGGCCCAGACUCCUACGGGAGGCAGCAGUGGGGAAUAUUGCACAAUGGGCGCAAGCCUGAUGCAGCGACGCCGCGUGGGGGAUGACGGCCUUCGGGUUGUAAACUCCUUUCGCUAGGGACGAAGCUUUUUGCGACGGUACCUAGAUAAGAAGCACCGGCUAACUACGUG